This 1315-nucleotide ribosomal RNA is filed under the name unidentified marine bacterioplankton. RNAcentral's name for it is "bacterial SSU rRNA". It matches the Rfam family "Bacterial small subunit ribosomal RNA", at positions 9 to 1371 of the family's 1533-position model. The record is from RNAcentral.
GAGUUUGAUCAUGGCUCAGAACGUACGCUGGCGGCACGCCUAACACAUGCAAGUCGAACGAAGUAGCAAUACUUAGUGGCAGACGGGUGAGUAACAUGUAGGUAUCUGCCCUUUGGCCUGGAAUAACACGAGGAAACUUGUGCUAAUACCGGAUAAGUCUUUACGGAGAAAGCUUUAUGCACCAUUGGAUGAGCCCGCACUUGAUUAGUUUGUUGGUGGGGUAAUGGCCUACCAAGACUUUGAUCAAUAGCUGAUUUGAGAGGAUGAUCAGCCACAUUGGGACUGAGACACGGCCCAAACUCCUACGGGAGGCAGCAGUGGGGAAUCUUGCACAAUGGAGGAAACUCUGAUGCAGCGAUGCCGCGUGAGUGAAGAAGGCCCUUGGGUUGUAAAGCUCUUUCGUCGGGGAAGAAAAUGACUGUACCCGAAUAAGAAGGUCCGGCUAACUUCGUGCCAGCAGCCGCGGUAAUACAAAGGGACCUAGCGUAGUUCGGAAUUACUGGGCUUAAAGAGUUCGUAGGUGGUUGAAAUAGUUGGUGGUGAAAUCCCAGAGCUUAACUCUGGAACUGCCAUCAAAACUUUUCAGCUAGAGUAUGAUAGAGGAAAGCAGAAUUUCUAGUGUAGAGGUGAAAUUCGUAGAUAUUAGAAAGAAUACCAAUUGCGAAGGCAGCUUUCUGGAUCAUUACUGACACUGAGGAACGAAAGCAUGGGUAGCGAAGAGGAUUAGAUACCCUCGUAGUCCAUGCCGUAAACGAUGUGUGUUAGACGUUGGAAAUUUAUUUUCAGUGUCGCAGCGAAAGCGAUAAACACACCGCCUGGGGAGUACGACCGCAAGGUUAAAACUCAAAUGAAUUGACGGGGACCCGCACAAGUAGUGGAGCAUGUGGUUUAAUUCGAAGAUACGCGCAGAACCUUACCAACACUUGACAUGUUCGUCGCGACUUUAAGAGAUUAAAGUUUUCGGUUCGGCCGGACGAAACACAGGUGCUGCAUGGCUGUCGUCAGCUCGUGUCGUGAGAUGUUGGGUUAAGUCCCGCAACGAGCGCAACCCUCACUUUUAGUUGCCAUCAUUAAGUUGGGCACUCUGAGAGAACUGCCAGUGAUAAGCUGGAGGAAGGUGGGGAUGACGUCAAGUCCUCAUGGCCCUUACGUGUUGGGCUACACACGUGCUACAAUGGUAUCUACAACAGGAAGCAAGACUGCGAAGUUAAGCAAAUCCCUAAAAGAUACCUCAGUUCGGAUUGCACUCUGCAACUCGAGUGCAUGAAGCUGGAAUUACUAGUAAUCGUGGAUCAGCGUGCCACGGUGAAUGCGU